This 21-nucleotide non-coding RNA is filed under the name Caenorhabditis elegans. The record is from RNAcentral. Lineage: Eukaryota; Metazoa; Nematoda; Chromadorea; Rhabditida; Rhabditidae.
UUUCCCUUUAAAAAUUCAUCG